RNAcentral lists this ribosomal RNA (535 nucleotides) under Prorocentrum lima. RNAcentral's name for it is "LSU rRNA". It matches the Rfam family "Eukaryotic large subunit ribosomal RNA", at positions 157 to 608 of the family's 3401-position model. Lineage: Eukaryota; Dinophyceae; Prorocentrales; Prorocentraceae. The record is from RNAcentral.
GGUAUCGCCAAUGGUGGCACAGGUGGGGGCCUCUUGGAAAAGGGCACCACAGAGGGUGUGAGUCCUGUUUGCCAUCUGUAGUCCGCCGUGUACGGCAUGCCUCCUCAGAGUCACGUUCCUUGGAAUUGGAGCGCGAAGGUGGGUGGUGGCUUUCAUCUCAAGCUAAGUAUGGGUUCGAGACCGAUAGCAAACAAGUACCAUGAGGGAAAAUUGAAAAGAGCUUUGGAAAGAGAGUUAAAAGUGCCCGAACUUGCUGAUAGGGAAGCGAAGGGAGCUGACGUUGCUUGGUAACAUCUUCUGCGCAAGACUAGGAUGGGUUCUGAUUGCAAUGUGUGUAGUGUUUCUUGCCGUGCGUGUCGAUGCCAAGCAAUGAGUGGAGAGAGCUCCAGGGAUAUGAUUGUUUCUGUCCCCGGGUAGACGAAGGUGCCUGGUUGCAUCCAUUCGUGGGCUGAAAAAUUGGUGGCUGGUUGCAGCAUUCCCUUGCCAACUAAUGCAAUUGGAGUGUAGCCCUGACAUGCAGACCGGAGGACAAAGU